CAGUCGCCACGGUAAAACGUAGGUGGCAAGCGUUGUCCGGAUUUAUUGGGCGUAAAGCGAGCGCAGGCGGUUUCUUAAGUCUGAUGUGAAAGCCCCCGGCUCAACCGGGGAGGGUCAUUGGAAACUGGGAGACUUGAGUGCAGAAGAGGAGAGUGGAAUUCCAUGUGUAGCGGUGAAAUGCGUAGAUAUAUGGAGGAACACCAGUGGCGAAGGCGGCUCUCUGGUCUGUAACUGACGCUGAGGCUCGAAAGCGUGGGGAGCGAACAGGAUUAGAUACCCGAGUAGUCCCUGUCUCUUAUAU
RNAcentral lists this ribosomal RNA (301 nucleotides) under uncultured bacterium. RNAcentral's name for it is "partial 16S ribosomal RNA". It matches the Rfam family "Bacterial small subunit ribosomal RNA", at positions 509 to 809 of the family's 1533-position model. The record is from RNAcentral.